RNAcentral lists this unclassified non-coding RNA (692 nucleotides) under uncultured fungus. RNAcentral's name for it is "sequence contains 18S rRNA gene, ITS1, 5.8S rRNA gene, ITS2, 28S rRNA gene". The record is from RNAcentral. Lineage: Eukaryota; Fungi.
UCGAAACGCAGCGCUGGAUCGUCGACGUCCGGCCGGGAAGCGCAUAUCUCGAUCAUCGACGACGUCGCGACCGACACCGGCCGGGACGACAAGACGGUUUUCGGGCCGUCCCUGCGGCUCGGAGUCGCUUUCCGCAUCACCCCGCUCUUCGACUUGGGGCUUGAAGCGGCUCGAGAGCUGGAACUGGUUCAACGACGAAGCGCCGUCGAGCUUGGAGUCGACCGCGCUCGUCUUCCGCAUCCGGUUUUAAGUACGGAUCGCUUCCCACCCUCACCCCUACCCCUCUCCCUACAGGGAGAGGGGAUACAACUCCACGCCUACAAUCUCGACGCCCGCCCAUACUCCACGCCUACAAUCUCUACACCCGGGCGUUGGGAUUAAAGGCGUCCGAGUCCGGGCGGGCGUUCGAGUUUUUUGGGCGUCGAGUCUGGGCGGGCAACCAACUCCACGCCUACAAGCUCGACGCCCGCCCAUACUCCACGCCUACAAUCUCGACGCCCGGGCGUUGGGAUUGAAGGCGUCGAGCCCGGGCGGGCGUCGAGUUUUUGGGCGUCGAGCCUGGAAUCGGCCGUCCGUUCGCAUUCCGACGUCCUGCGUUCCCAUUCGGACGCCAUUCGCGACAACACCAUGGCCGAUUCAGAGCGUCCAAGCCGACUUGAGCAGAUCAACCGGGCGGAUCGAAUGGGUUGAAA